AGAGUUUGAUCCUGGCUCAGGAUGAACGCUAGCGGCAGGCUUAACACAUGCAAGUCGAGGGGCAGCGCGAGGUAGCAAUACUUUGGCGGCGACCGGCGGAAGGGUGCGUAACGCGUGAGCAACAUGCCCGUCACAGGGGGAUAAUCCAUGGAAACGUGGUCUAACACCGCAUAGAUUAUAGAGGUGACAUCACCAUUAUAAGAAAUUCGCAAGAAGGUGACGGAUUGGCUCGCGUAACAUUAGCCAGUUGGUAGGGUAACGGCCUACCAAAGCGACGAUGUUUAGGGGUCCUGAGAGGGAGGUCCCCCACACUGGAACUGAGACACGGUCCAGACUCCUACGGGAGGCAGCAGUGAGGAAUAUUGGACAAUGGAUGGAAAUCUGAUCCAGCCAUGCCGCGUGCGGGAUGACGGCCCUAUGGGUUGUAAACCGCUUUUGCAGGGGAGCAAUAAGGUCCACGCGUGGACCGACGAGAGUACUCUGUGAAUAAGCAUCGGCUAACUCCGUGCCAGCAGCCGCGGUAAU
Molecule: ribosomal RNA, 525 nt
Filed under: uncultured bacterium
Lineage: Bacteria
Description: bacterial SSU rRNA
Rfam family: Bacterial small subunit ribosomal RNA
Source: RNAcentral